CGUAAUCACUUGUCUUUUAAAUAAAGACCAGUAUGAAUGGCUAAAUGAGGGCGGACCUGUCUCCUGUGCCCAAUCAGUGAAAUUGAUCUCCUGGUACAAAAGCCAGAAUAAUAACAUAAGACGAGAAGACCCUGUGGAGCUUAAAAUUCAUAACUACUUAAAAACUAGUAUCAAUUUUAAGUUGGGGCGACUUCGGAACAAAACAAAACUUCCGAGCAAGGAACAAACCACUUCCUAACAAGGCUCACAAGCCAAUUCAGCCGACCCAGUCACACUGAUCAACGAACCAAGUUACCCCAGGGAUAACAGCGCAAUCCCCUCCAAGAGUCCAUAUCGACAAGGGGGUUUACGACCUCGAUGUUGGAUCAGGACAUCCUAAUGGUGCAACCGCUAUUAAUGGUUCGUUUGUUCAACGAUUAACAGUCCUACGUGAUC
Molecule: ribosomal RNA, 435 nt
Filed under: Ablepharus budaki
Lineage: Eukaryota; Metazoa; Chordata; Lepidosauria; Squamata; Scincidae
Description: partial 16S ribosomal RNA
Rfam family: Bacterial large subunit ribosomal RNA
Source: RNAcentral